UGAAGUAUAGCUUAAACUAAAGCAUUUCGCUUACACCGAAAUAAUGCCCAUUAAACCUGGGCUACUCCAAG
This 71-nucleotide transfer RNA is filed under the name Pristimantis lymani (Lyman's robber frog). Its description in RNAcentral is "tRNA-Val". It matches the Rfam family "tRNA". From Rfam's summary of the family: Transfer RNA (tRNA) molecules are approximately 80 nucleotides in length. Lineage: Eukaryota; Metazoa; Chordata; Amphibia; Anura; Strabomantidae. The record is from RNAcentral.